AGAAGAUAAAUAGAACGCAGUUUAGUUUUACCUUAUUUGCCCUAUUACCACAAGCUGAGCUGUUAUAACACGUUACACCCUCCUUCACACAUACUCAAGGUCAACACACACAGACACUGGAACAUCCUGUUCUCUACAUAACAGCGAGCGGCCUAACCACAAAGCGCCAUUGAGGGGUUGCUGAGUCUGAUACACUAUCUCGUGACAAACACCAGCUGCAGAGGCACCCCAACCCUGAGAAAGAGGAACACACACACGCACACACCUAAUCUCCUUUUUAGCUGAACAUUGUGUGACCAAGGACAGGUACGACGAGACUCUAUGAUGACGGAUGGUCCAACUGAGCCAAUACAAGAAGACUACACUCCAGCCUGAACCAAUCCGAAGACCCGAUCUUCUAGAAUCAACCUACUUUCUGUUCUGUAUAUAAUACAUGUGCACACUGUUAGCGGGGCUUCUUUCUGGAGGUUCCUUAUGAGCUGAAUGAACGGGCCCGUAUACGCUGUACCAGAUAUCUUCACUCUGAAUAAACUGUCGCUUGUCAUACAAUCUACCGCUUUGUCCGAAUCGAUCCUUGACCGGCUCACUCACCUGCACAUCCCAGUUAUCAACAGAAUCUUGGUAGCAGAGGAUGGUUUACUAACGACCCAGUCCUGAGUGGUUGAUGUGGGUGUGAGGGGGCGAGUUGGUGAAAGGACGAUUCGAGGAGGACGAGUGUCAAUUCGGGGGUGGACAACAAUUCUGCUCAACUCGGGAAACUGAUCUCUGGUCGACCACAAAAUAAGCUCUCUCCAAACAGAUACACAGAGUCCAAGAGGGGGAGCUGACGGGAGAUCCAGAACAACCAAGGGUAAAGGUCGGAGAUUGGGUAAGGAUCAAGGUCCACAAGAGAAAGUGGCAGAAUCCCAGGUGGACUGGACCGUACGAAGUGAAGGAGGUUACUUCACACUCAGUCCAGGUCAAAGGUAAAUCAGGGGCGCCUUGGCACCACUUGACUCAUUGCACCCCAGCUUCGAUUCCCAACAGAACACUGACAGAGGUCAGGGUCGACUUGAGCGACUUAAAUUCGGCUCCAAUACAACCCGAUUAGCAGGUGACGAUGUGGACCAGACUCCCAUCGGCACCGGCUAAUGGGCCUCCUAGGGAUAGGGGUUAUCCCUGGACUAGACUGGGCAUAUCUGGCCCCGGUUUAUUUGUGUGUUUGUAAAUGCAUAUGUCUACUGAAUGAUAAAUUGAACGAAUGUUUAGACAAUGUUUUAGAUGUGUUGACUAUAUUGAGUGAAUGUUCAAACGAUGUUUUAGAUGUGCUCUGGCGUAAAUGAAGAUUUGUGAGACUCAAAUCGUGUGCAUGAAAUACGCUUGAUAUUCAGUCGGGGACUAAUAUCGGUAUGAAUGAGGUCGGGGACCAAGCGAGUGUGGUACAUUAGGUAUUUCAGUUGGAGCUGGUACCGGUGAGAAUGUUGAAAAAGUCGCAGGCUUGCUGAUGAGAGUUAUAUCAUAGAAUAUUGAGGGGGUGUGCAUGACUGUUGGAAAA
Long non-coding RNA from Oncorhynchus tshawytscha (Chinook salmon), 1534 nucleotides. RefSeq lists it as uncharacterized. The record is from RefSeq and is a predicted model, not a curated record. The transcript has 2 exons. NCBI's taxonomy places the organism in Eukaryota, Metazoa, Chordata, Actinopteri, Salmoniformes, Salmonidae.